Long non-coding RNA from Lucilia sericata (common green bottle fly), 255 nucleotides. RefSeq lists it as uncharacterized. Lineage: Eukaryota; Metazoa; Arthropoda; Insecta; Diptera; Calliphoridae. The transcript is spliced from 2 exons. The record is from RefSeq and is a predicted model, not a curated record.
CAGCUGAGAAUAAAAACUUUGAAACUGGAAUGUUAUUAAACUUCCAAUAAGAAUUUCAUAAAACAGCAGAAAUAAUAAUCAUAGAUAAGAAAGAAAACAAGACAAUUAUUUUUUCAUAUAAAAUUGCAAAAAAUCAAAUUAAAAUUGUACGUGUUGUUUGAAACAAGUUGACAGGCACAACCCAACCAACGGCAGUCAGAUAAGUUUAUCAAAAGCUAGACACGUAAUAGUUUUACUCCAAGCGUAACCCUCUAA